AGGACGAACGCUGGCGGCGUGCUUCACACAUGCAAGUCGAACGGGGCUCAUUCGGUGGUAACACCGGAGAAGGCCUAGUGGCGAACGGGUGCGUAACACGUGAAGAACCUGCCCCGAAGACUGGGAUAACAGCGGGAAACCGCUGCUAAUACCGGAUGACCCCACCAGGCCGCAUGGCCAGGUGAGGAAAUGGGCCUACCGCUUCGGGAGGGCUUCGCGGCCUAUCAGCUUGUUGGUGGGGUAACGGCCUACCAAGGCUACGACGGGUAGCUGGUCUGAGAGGACGACCAGCCACACUGGGACUGAGACACGGCCCAGACUCCUACGGGAGGCAGCAGUGGGGAAUCUUGCGCAAUGGGCGAAAGCCUGACGCAGCAACGCCGCGUGAGGGAUGAAGGUCUUCGGGUUGUAAACCUCUUUCGAGCAGGGACGAUUGUGACGGUACCUGCAGAAGAAGCUCCGGCAACUACGCGCCAGCAGCCGCGGU
This 487-nucleotide ribosomal RNA is filed under the name uncultured bacterium. RNAcentral describes it as "SSU rRNA". It matches the Rfam family "Bacterial small subunit ribosomal RNA", at positions 26 to 521 of the family's 1533-position model. The record is from RNAcentral.